Molecule: long non-coding RNA, 1127 nt
Organism: Quercus robur (English oak)
Lineage: Eukaryota; Viridiplantae; Streptophyta; Magnoliopsida; Fagales; Fagaceae
Exons: 5
Source: RefSeq, a predicted model, not a curated record
CUCUAUUACCAAUUCCCAUCUACUUAUUGCUGCUAACUUUUGUAAUUAUUCACAUACAAUGCUUUUCAAUUCAUUUGGUCACAACUAGGAUAUCCAUGAUUUUAUAUUUUUUCUUUUGUCUUCCCUACUAAUUGAAACUGAUGUAAUUGAUGGUCGAUUUCUGUACAAUAAAUUAAUAAUUGCAUGCAAUUGUUGGUAUCCUUGUCUGUUUUGGUGGGUGCUAAAACUCUUGAUGAGACCCAAUCCCUUGUUUCACUCCACACAAGAGAUAGCUAGCAACACGACUCAAUUUUAUUGUCAGAUUCACUUUAAUUUGUCAACGAGUGCAACACAAGCCCAGCAUUUAUUUGGUGUAAUAUCAGAGCCUAUUGUUCCUCUUGCAUCAGUCACACUCCUGAAUUUCAAAUAUGCUUCCAGGUCACAUUCCAACUGGAGGGACCUGCAGCACUAUUCUGCUCCUUCAUUUUGAGUCCACACCCCUGGUGGUACAACAAGAAGGUGGAAGAUUGAGGGAAUGACAAAUCUCUGUUUACACUAUAAGAAGUUCAAAAUGUGAUUGUAUUGUUUGUCUUGAGAAAUAUGGCAGGCUAUUUAAUCAUAUAUGAGAAGAGGCAGAUGGAACCUAGUGCAGACUUGUAGCUUCCAUUAUCACAUUUUUUAGAUUAAAAUUCACUUCUCAGUCUUAGUGAGAGAAGUUCUUUUGAUUGAACAAUGCAGGAAUGAAGAAAUCAGCUAUUGGAGUAUUUUCUGUUGGAAGUCCCUGCUUGGAAUUCUUGUUUUGUUGUCUAUAAUGAAAACUAUGCGGGCCUGCAAGUCUGGCAACACAAAAAAAAAAAAUCCAUGCUGGAUGGAUCAUGCAAUUAAAGGUGGUCAACAAACUACCUCUCUCUAAGCUUUGGGAAUUGAUGGUGAACGGAAAAAUGUCAGCCCUCUCCAGACUUUUGGCUCUUUCAUCUUUUCCACACUCCAGAGAGUUCAAAAGGCUCAGCACAUCUCCUGUUCUUGUUGUCCUUGCAGUCCUCACCAGUAGGGGGUGUUAAACUCUGUUGUUACUAUCAAUAAUUCUAAAUUGUUGUAUGCUGAGAUAGUGAUGGGAGAGGCAUAGAGGGGGAAAAUAUCCCAAGAUG